GUGAGGAAUAUUGGACAAUGGGCGCAAGCCUGAUCCAGCCAUGCCGCGUGCAGGAAGACGCAUCUAUGGUGUGUAAACUGCUUUUGUACGGGAAGAAACACUCCCUCGUGAGGGAGCUUGACGGUACCGUAAGAAUAAGGAUCGGCUAACUCCGUGCCAGCAGCCGCGGUAAUACGGAGGAUCCAAGCGUUAUCCGGAAUCAUUGGGUUUAAAGGGUCCGUAGGCGGUUUAAUAAGUCAGUGGUGAAAGCCCAUCGCUCAACGAUGGAACGGCCAUUGAUACUGUUAGACUUGAAUUACAAGGAAGUAACUAGAAUAUGUAGUGUAGCGGUGAAAUGCUUAGAUAUUACAUGGAAUACCAAUUGCGAAGGCAGGUUACUACUUGUGGAUUGACGCUGAUGGACGAAAGCGUGGGGAGCGAACAGGAUUAGAAACCAGGGUAGUCC
RNAcentral lists this ribosomal RNA (445 nucleotides) under uncultured bacterium. Its description in RNAcentral is "partial 16S ribosomal RNA". It matches the Rfam family "Bacterial small subunit ribosomal RNA", at positions 354 to 796 of the family's 1533-position model. The record is from RNAcentral.